This 433-nucleotide ribosomal RNA is filed under the name uncultured bacterium. Its description in RNAcentral is "partial 16S ribosomal RNA". It matches the Rfam family "Bacterial small subunit ribosomal RNA", at positions 29 to 507 of the family's 1533-position model. The record is from RNAcentral.
AACGAACGCUGGCGGCAUGCCUAACACAUGCAAGUCGAACGAGACCUUCGGGUCUAGUGGCGCACGGGUGCGUAACGCGUGGGAACCUGCCCUUAGGUUCGGAAUAACUCCCCGAAAGGGGUGCUAAUACCGGAUAAUCUCUUCGGACCAAAGAUUUAUCGCCUUUGGAUGGGCCCGCGUUGGAUUAGCUAGUUGGUAGGGUAAAAGCCUACCAAGGCGACGAUCCAUAGCUGGUCUGAGAGGAUGAUCAGCCACACUGGGACUGAGACACGGCCCAGACUCCUACGGGAGGCAGCAGUGGGGAAUAUUGGACGAUGGGGGAAAGCCUGAUCCAGCAAUGCCGGGUGAGUGAUGAAGGGCUUAGGGUUGUAAAGCUCUUUUACCCGGGAUGAUAAUGACAGUACCGGGAGAAUAAGCACCGGCUAACUACGUG